AACUGAUACUACCUGCGGGAACCUGCGGAAGGAUCAUUAUCGAGUUUACAACUCCCAAACCAUUGUGAAUCUUACCUUUUCGUUGCUUCGGCGGGAUCGCCCCGGGCGCUUCGGUGCCCCGGAUUCAGGCGCCCGCCGGGGGACCUAAACUCUUGUAUUAUAGUGGAUUUCUGAGUGGAUUACACAAAUAAUCAAAACUUUUAGCAACGGAUCUCU
RNAcentral lists this unclassified non-coding RNA (216 nucleotides) under soil metagenome. Its description in RNAcentral is "partial contains 5.8S ribosomal RNA, internal transcribed spacer 2, and large subunit ribosomal RNA". The record is from RNAcentral.